AGUGAACGCUGGCGGCGUGCUUAACACAUGCAAGUCGAACGAGAACGGGUUAUAGCUUGCUAUAAUUGUCAGCUAAGUGGCGCACGGGUGAGUAAUGUAUAGGUAAUAUGCCUCUUACUAAGGGAUAACAAUUGGAAACGAUUGCUAAUACCUUAUACUCCUUAUUAACAGAAGUUAAUAAGGGAAAGAUUUAUUGGUAAGAGAUUAGCCUGUAUUGUAUCAGUUAGUUGGUGGGGCAAUGGCUUACCAAGACUAUGACACAUAACUGGUUUGAGAGGAUGAUCAGUCACACUGGAACUGAGACACGGUCCAGACUCCUACGGGAGGCAGCAGUGGGGAAUAUUGCACAAUGGACGAAAGUCUGAUGCAGCAACGCCGCGUGGAGGAUGACACAUUUCGGUGCGUAAACUCCUUUUAUAUGAGAAGAUAAUGACGGUAUUAUAUGAAUAAGCACCGGCUAACUCCGUGCCAGCCGCCGCGGUAA
This 484-nucleotide ribosomal RNA is filed under the name uncultured bacterium. RNAcentral describes it as "partial 16S ribosomal RNA". It matches the Rfam family "Bacterial small subunit ribosomal RNA", at positions 29 to 523 of the family's 1533-position model. The record is from RNAcentral.